UGCAUUCAAUACUGUAAGUUGCUCUGGAUAAGAGUGUCUGCUAAAUGACUAAAA
Molecule: non-coding RNA, 54 nt
Organism: Salmo salar (Atlantic salmon)
Lineage: Eukaryota; Metazoa; Chordata; Actinopteri; Salmoniformes; Salmonidae
Source: Rfam